CUUUGCCUCAUUCAAGUGUAUGAAGUUCUUGGUGAUAUGAAUUAGUGUUUGAUUAAAGGUAACCUUUUCCCCCCUUACUUGGUUUGACAAAGUAUCUAAUAAGACUCCGUUUUCUAUUCUUGGAAUGUGAAUCAAAAAGGGUCCCAGGAAACCUGUGAAUGUUGAAGAAAAUUCGUCUGUGAAUUUUUGGUAUUCGAGGAGGAGUCAGUAUUUAUAUUCAUCUUUUAAACUGGGAAGAUUUAUGUUUUAUUUUAAAACUUCUUGAUAUUUACAAUGAAUGGACACAGUGAUGAAGAAAGUGUUAGAAACAGUAGUGGAGAAUCAAGAUGCCAGGAUUCCUGUUAAGAGGGAGAAGAGGGAGAAGACAUGAAAAAAAUCCAAGUCUGGGCUGAUUCUUCGCAAAUUUGGUAACAGAAAGGGUAGGUGCCUUUCUCCCAAGGCAAAUCCUUCAUCUUUAUUUUAGAUCCUAUCCAAUCCUACUUCCCA
Molecule: long non-coding RNA, 486 nt
Organism: Diceros bicornis minor
Lineage: Eukaryota; Metazoa; Chordata; Mammalia; Perissodactyla; Rhinocerotidae
Exons: 3
Source: RefSeq, a predicted model, not a curated record